This 497-nucleotide ribosomal RNA is filed under the name uncultured Cytophagales bacterium. RNAcentral describes it as "bacterial SSU rRNA". It matches the Rfam family "Bacterial small subunit ribosomal RNA", at positions 43 to 532 of the family's 1533-position model. Lineage: Bacteria; Pseudomonadati; Bacteroidota; Sphingobacteriia; Sphingobacteriales. The record is from RNAcentral.
CAGGCCUAACACAUGCAAUGUCGAGGGGCAGCAUUUCUAGCUUGCUAGAAGAUGGCGACCGGCGCACGGGUGAGUAACGCGUAUGCAACCUACCUUAUACUGGGGAAUAGCCCAGAGAAAUCUGGAUUAAUACCGCAUAAUAUGUUUGAAUCGCAUGGUUUAAAUAUUAAAACUCCGGUGGUAUAAGAUGGGCAUGCGUAGCAUUAGUUAGUUGGUGAGGUAACGGCUCACCAAGACAAUGAUGCUUAGGGGGUCUGAGAGGAUAGUCCCCCACACUGGUACUGAGACACGGACCAGACUCCUACGGGAGGCAGCAGUGAGGAAUAUUGGUCAAUGGGCGCAAGCCUGAACCAGCCAUGUCGCGUGCAGGAUGACGGCCCUAUGGGUUGUAAACUGCUUUUUUACAGGAAUAAUUGUCGCUACGUGUAGUGAUUUGAAUGUACUGUAUGAAUAAGGAUCGGCUAACUCCGUGCCAGCAGCCGCGGUAAUACAAGGGC